UUGGCUUAGAAGCAGCCAUCAUUUAAAGAAAGCGUAAUAGCUCACUGGUCGAGUCGGCCUGCGCGGAAGAUGUAACGGGGCUAAACCAUGCACCGAAGCUGCGGCAGCGAACGUAUCACCCAAGACAACUUUACGGAGUUGACGAUUGACGGAGCGAAGCGACGUCAAAGCGUUCAUUAAAGUCGAGUUGGCUUAGGGAUACGUUCGUUGGGUAGGGGAGCGUUCUGUAAGCCUGUGAAGGUGUGUCGUGAGGCAUGCUGGAGGUAUCAGAAGUGCGAAUGCUGACAUAAGUAACGAUAAAGCGGGUGAAAAGCCCGCUCGCCGGAAGACCAAGGGUUCCUGUCCAACGUUAAUCGGGGCAGGGUGAG
This 368-nucleotide ribosomal RNA is filed under the name Salmonella enterica subsp. enterica serovar Worthington str. BCH-3194. Its description in RNAcentral is "partial 23S ribosomal RNA". It matches the Rfam family "Bacterial large subunit ribosomal RNA", at positions 1101 to 1383 of the family's 2925-position model. Lineage: Bacteria; Pseudomonadati; Pseudomonadota; Gammaproteobacteria; Enterobacterales; Enterobacteriaceae. The record is from RNAcentral.